Molecule: ribosomal RNA, 253 nt
Filed under: uncultured bacterium
Lineage: Bacteria
Description: partial 16S ribosomal RNA
Rfam family: Bacterial small subunit ribosomal RNA
Source: RNAcentral
UACGGAGGGUGCGAGCGUUGUCCGGAAUCACUGGGCGUAAAGGGCGCGUAGGCGGCCUGGUAAGUAGGGGGUGAAAUCCUGCGGCUUAACCGCAGGGCUGCCUUCUAAACUGUCAGGCUAGAGCACGGUAGAGGCAGAUGGAAUUCCCGGUGUAGCGGUGGAAUGCGCAGAUAUCAGGAGGAACACCGGUGGCGAAGGCGGGUCCCUGGGCCGUUACUGACGCUGAGGAGCGAAAGCGUGGGGAGCGAACAGG